AUGGGAGAUAGAGUCCAGAGACAACUACUGACUUCCUACAAAGAGGAGCUGGUCAGAGCUGCACAGAGUACUCCUGUGUUUCAGAGACCUACAGUGGUGCAGACCAAUGAGGUGGAGGAGAGGGAGCGCUACAGAUACCAGUGGAGGAAGGAGGACAGGCAGAGAAUCGUCGGUGACAGAUUGGAGCUCUUCGUCGCCAUAGUGACAGGGUUGUUAAUGGGGGUUCUGACAGGUGGUUUUGGAGGUGUUGUCAUGGGAGGGUUGACAGGGGCGGUGAUAUGGUUUACAACAGGACUGGUUAGGAACUGGUGGAGCCCCUGAUUCACUGGGAGACACCAUGUGUAGGCUAUGGAUCUACUUAUAUAAAGACAUUUGGAGGAUAAAACAAUUUGAACAUGUAUAGAUAGAAGGGCUUAAGUCUUGGUCUUGUUUCUUGAUGCAUUUGUCAAACUUUAAUUAUGAAUCAUUUGGAAGUGAAUAAAAGCCCAAUAAAGAGAUAAGAAACAGAGAAUAUACUGAUUAUUUUUAAAGAGAGAUGAAACCCUCAUAUUCGUCACCAGUGUUAACCUACAGUACUUCUGUUAAGUCAGUCCUGAUAUGGGUCUGAACCUGUUACUCAUAAAGGGAUUAAAACAGAGAUUCUUCCAGAAAUCUCUUUCCCUGAUUUCAUCUGACCAAGUAUUCAGAUAUCAUGUGACAGUAGUUAUGGCCAAUGAUAAGCCUCUAUCCUACACUGUAAAAUCCUUACAAAUAACAGCAACAAGAGCUAGUGACUCGAUCACCAAAUAUACAUGAUCAAUUAAUAGUUUACGUAAACAAACAGUAGGGAUCCUACUAGAACCCCGAUCCAGUGACUGUCAACCCAACACAGUUUGGCCAGGAUCACAGUCUGUAUCCAGAAAGGAGCUCAGAGUAGGAGUACUGAUCUAGGAUCUGUCCAUAUAAUCAUUAUGAUCUAAACGUCAAAAACUGAUGCUAGAUCAGAACUCCUACGAGCCCAGGUCAUUACUAAUCUCAACAAUGUUGUUAUUGCUGUCGGCUCAAUCUGUCAUGGAAUCAGUAAACCCUGCUCUCAAUCUGUCAUGGAAUCAGUAAACCCUGCUCUCAAUCUGUCAUGGAAUCAGUAAACCCUGCUCUCAAACUGUCAUGGAAUCAGUAAACCCUGCACUCAAUCUGACAUGGAAUCAGUAAACCCUGCUUUCAUUACUGUCAUGGAAUCAGUAAACCUUGCUCUCAAUCUGUCAUGGAAUCAGUAACCCUGCUCUCAAUCUGUCAUGGAAUCAGUAAACCCUGCUCUCAUUACUGUCAUGGAAUCAGUAAACCCUGCUCUCAAUCUGUCAUGGAAUCAGUAAACCCUGCUCUCAUUACUGUCAUGGAAUCAGUAAACCCUGCUCUCAUUACUGUCAUGGAAUCAGUAAACCCUGCUCUCAUUACUGUCAUGUAAUCAGUAAACCCUGCUCUCAUUACUGUCAUGGAAUCAGUAAACCCUGCUCUCAAUCUGUCAUGGAAUCAGUAAACCCUGCUCUGUCUGUCAUGGAAUCAGUAAACCCUGCUCUCAUUACUGUCAUGAAAUCAGUAAACCCUGCACUCAAAUUAACAAAAAUAUGUUGCCUAGAUUUGGUCAAAUUUACAAACGCUCAACACCCACUGAAUAUGGCCGGUGUCAGUAAACGUUGGCAAAAAAAGCAUAAUUAAAUUGUUGCCAGUUGCAGUCACCAACGCUCUGGAUAACAUGAAAACAGCCUAACAGCCUAACAGCCUCUGCUAGGGUGAGUAAACUGGUCAGAGUGAGCUGUUCUCUCAUUAUGAGUCUGGAAGUAGCUAGCAAGCUAGCCAACAUUAGCCAGUUAGCUUGACUGCUGUUGUUAGGGCAGAAUGCUCAAAUCAUCCCUACUCCUCGGCCAGUGUGGCGAGCUGAACGCUCCGAGGGCGUAACACUCUGAAUUUAUGAAGGGACAAUCUGACAACAGUCUGAGUUCACGAACGCCCAGAAAACACUGGCACUCCAGAUUAAAUGUACGAACACAACCGUAGGAUAGACCAGUCUUUAGUCUUGAAAUCUUUGUUUGUUUAGUACAUGGCCUCACAAGUGAAUCCUUAAAGAGAUGGGUGGGGCUAAAGUUUAAUAGUUGUUGUUUUUUAAGUUGUAAAAUUCAAACUAGAUAAAGUAGUAGGUUCUAAUCUGUUUGGAGAAGGGGAUUGUAAAUACAAACAGAUUGUUUUAGAUUAUUUUUACUUUUGCUUGCUGGAGACAAAUGUGAAACCAGCCAUGGAAGCAAACUGAAAACUCAAGGCUACCAA
RNAcentral lists this long non-coding RNA (2301 nucleotides) under Oncorhynchus kisutch (coho salmon). Its description in RNAcentral is "lncRNA (ENSOKIG00005040423.1)". The record is from RNAcentral. Lineage: Eukaryota; Metazoa; Chordata; Actinopteri; Salmoniformes; Salmonidae.